AGCGAACGCUGGCGGCAGGCCUAACACAUGCAAGUCGAGCGCUCGUAGCAAUACGAGAGCGGCAGACGGGAGAGUAACACGUGGGAACGUACCCUUUGGUUCGGAACAACACAGGGAAACUUGUGCUAAUACCGAAUAAGCCCUUACGGGGAAAGGAUUAUCGCCGAAGGAUCGGCCCGCGUCUGAUUAGCUAGUUGGUGGGGUAACGGGCGUCACCAAGGCGACGAUCAGUAGCUGGUCUGAGAGGAUGAUCAGCCACA
This 260-nucleotide ribosomal RNA is filed under the name uncultured bacterium. RNAcentral describes it as "partial 16S ribosomal RNA". It matches the Rfam family "Bacterial small subunit ribosomal RNA", at positions 29 to 312 of the family's 1533-position model. The record is from RNAcentral.